CCCCUGCCGAAUACUAGGGCCUUGAAAAUGAAUGGCGCACAUAGUACUACCGAUACCAUACACAUGCAGCUGAUGCAUGGAGUAGGGGGACAUGAACAUUAUCAACGAAGGCAUCUCGUAAGAGGUGUUGGAGAAGUGUUUAUUGCACAUCCUAAUUGAAGUAGCGUUUAUCCAGGUUAACAUCCUGGAGGCUGAUGAGGAGUAGGGUUUCUGGGCAACAUACACUGUCCCAGAGUUAGUCGGUCCUGAUCCCAAUAAUGGUGAGAAAGGGAACACGGUUGAUAUUCCGUGACUAGUAGCAGGGAGUGGCAACACAGAGGAAACGUUUUCCGUCGAUUAGAUACCGAUUAUUAGGGAUCUCUUUCCUAAAUGACGGUGUGCGUGUGCUAGGAAUCAGGUCAACUGGAGAAUAUUUGCAUGCGUACCUGGCAAAAUGCUGAUUCGUCAGCAUUAAGGGCUGUCUGAUUGAUCCAUGAAGCAAGCGUUUUUAGUACUGCGCUAGGCGUACCGAUGACCGCAUCAGGUCUCCGAGGUGAGUAGCCUAUGGCCAUUGAGGUGUGGUAGUUCAGGGAAUUCGGCCAAUUGGAGCUGUAACUUCGGGAUAAAGCUUGGCUCUGAUGGAAAUCAGAACUGAUUGUUACAAGGAGAGCCCAACUGUUUAAUAAAAACGCAGUGUCGCGCUGAAGUCAUACAGCUUGUGAACGCGACAUGAAUCCUGCUCAGUGCUGUGUCUGUUAAAGUGGUUCAAGCCAACGAAGCACCGGUAAAUAGCUGGGGUAACUAUGACUCUUAUCAAAGUAGCGAAAUACCUCGUCACUUAAUUAGUGACCUGCAUGAACGGAGCUAUGAGGUUCUCACUGUCCCAAACUAUCUCUCAGCGAACCAACAGUUGUGGGAACGGGCACAAGUUAUCCAGCGGGGAAAGAAGACCCUGUAGAGCUUCACUUUGGUCUAGUCUUGUAUGGUUUCGUCAAGGGUGCAGUCUAGGUGGGAGAGCAAUCGAAUAUGAGAAACCACUACCUUGUCUGGAAUUAUGCUUAUCUCGAAAGAGAGAUAUGGCUAGAUAGAAAGUUUGGCUGGGGCGGCACACCUUCGAAAAUGCAGCGAAGGUGUCCUAAGUUGAGCUCAGUGAGGACAGAAAUCUCACGUCGAGGAUAAGGCCAAAAGCUCAAUUUACUGUGCCUUUUUGUACUAGGACCAGUUUGGAAACAAAGGCCUAACGAUCCCUAAUUAGUGGUAAGUGCGUACCACUUGGGGUGACAGACAAGUUACCUCCGGGACAACUGGCUUGUGGCUGCUAAGAGAUCAAAUCAACGCAGCUUUUUGAUUCUUCGAUGUCGGCUCUUCCUAUCCUAGUGUCGCAUAAGUCACUAAGGGUUGGAUUGUUCACCCGUAUUAGGGAUCGUGAGCUGGGUUUAGACCGUCGUGAGCCAGGUUUGUUUUAUCCUACUGGAUACUCCAUCAUGAUAGUAGAUUGAUUUAGUACGAGAGGAACUGUUGAUUAUGGCCUCUGGUUCAGCGAUUAUGGGAAACCAUACGUCGCGCAGCUACGCCGUCUGGGAUAAUGGCUGAAGGCCUCUUAAGCCAGAAACUCAUCUAGAGACUGAUGGAUGGUGGUAUCAUCCGCGGCAAGAUAAACUUUAUAGCGGAAAAGCCACUAAGGUAACCCAAUGUAGAAGACGUUGU
This 1686-nucleotide ribosomal RNA is filed under the name gut metagenome. RNAcentral describes it as "eukaryotic LSU rRNA". It matches the Rfam family "Eukaryotic large subunit ribosomal RNA", at positions 1291 to 3320 of the family's 3401-position model. The record is from RNAcentral.